RNAcentral lists this transfer RNA (77 nucleotides) under Desulfocarbo indianensis. RNAcentral describes it as "tRNA-Arg". It matches the Rfam family "tRNA". From Rfam's summary of the family: Transfer RNA (tRNA) molecules are approximately 80 nucleotides in length. Their secondary structure includes four short double-helical elements and three loops (D, anti-codon, and T loops). The record is from RNAcentral. Lineage: Bacteria; Pseudomonadati; Thermodesulfobacteriota; Desulfarculia; Desulfarculales; Desulfarculaceae.
GCGCCUGUAGCUCAGGUGGAUAGAGCAGCGGCCUUCUAAGCCGCGGGCCGGGGGUUCGAAUCCCUCCAGGCGUACCA